UACGGAGGGUGCAAGCGUUAAUCGGAAUCACUGGGCGUAAAGCGCACGUAGGCGGUCUGGUAAGUCAGAGGUGAAAGCCCACAGCCCAACUGUGGAACUGCCUUUGAUACUGCCAGACUUGAGUAAUGGAGGGGGAACCGGAAUUCUCGGUGUAGCAGUGAAAUGCGUAGAUAUCGAGAGGAACACUCGUGGCGAAGGCGGCCACCUGGACGGUAACUGACGCUGAGGUGCGAAAGCGUGGGUAGCAA
RNAcentral lists this ribosomal RNA (248 nucleotides) under uncultured Bilophila sp. Its description in RNAcentral is "partial 16S ribosomal RNA". It matches the Rfam family "Bacterial small subunit ribosomal RNA", at positions 524 to 771 of the family's 1533-position model. Lineage: Bacteria; Pseudomonadati; Thermodesulfobacteriota; Desulfovibrionia; Desulfovibrionales; Desulfovibrionaceae. The record is from RNAcentral.